Dromaius novaehollandiae (emu) is the source of this 3582-nucleotide long non-coding RNA. RefSeq lists it as uncharacterized. NCBI's taxonomy places the organism in Eukaryota, Metazoa, Chordata, Aves, Casuariiformes, Dromaiidae. The transcript has 4 exons. The record is from RefSeq and is a predicted model, not a curated record.
CGGGGAGAGGCCGCCGGCCGGGGCGCCGUGGGAGGCGGGGCGGCUGCGCUCGAUGUCUCUCACUACAGAAACCAAGCAUUUGUCCGACUGACCCCGACAGCUUUUGGAAGACUAAGAUCUCACUUCCAUGAUGGAAGGCCUGAGAUCUCUUCGACUUACUACUGAUGUCAGAACCCUUUCCCAAACGCAGCAACCAUGCAGUCUCAAGAAAUUUGGAGAUGGGCUUCUUGUGUUUGUAGCAUGGAUACCAAUUGCAACUCUCUAUGCUAUCUUUGUAAAAGAGGAUAUGAAUAGCACAAUAUGUUAGAUAUGAAAUGAUUUUGUCAUGAAUACACCUGUAGGAAUAUAAAAGAAGUAUAUGAUUGAUCAGUGAAAUUAAAGUUGGGUAUAUAGCCCAUAAUCUUAGGGGAAAUAACUGAACAAUAUUUGCACCGUUUUUUUUAAUAUACGUCAGUAGCUGCAACUUGUGACUUAGCUGAAGCGGAUCUGAAUUUUCCAAUAUGCUUCCAUUAUGUUAUGUCUACAUUAGCAAAUAAUUCAGUGCAUGUGAAGCAGAUAAACAGACUGAAGUAGCUGGUGCUAAGGCUCCUCAGAUUUCCGUUAUAUGCAGCAAAAGGGUUUUACUUAUGCUUAGAUAUAGUCUGGUCUCCUGUGCCAAACAUGGUCCUGAACUGGCUGAAGCAGUGCUACUGUACAAACCUUGACUUCCUCCACUGCAGGCUUCUCUGGGAGCACCAUUUCGUCCUUGCCCCUAUCCCAUGCAGAGAGCAGCAGCACAUCGGUGCCACGUCAGUGCCCUGCCAUCAUUGCUCGUAGAAGACUCCUCCCUAUUCCUGAGUGACAUUGUUAUGCCUGGCAACUGCCCUACCUUCCAGUUCCAAGUUUGUACAUCAUCUUCUGCAAGGGGUCAAAGCACCAGCAGAGGUGAACUAUAUGGACUUAAAAAAUAGAUUAAAGCUUUAAUCUUAGAAAAAUGCUGGCUCACUCUCAAAUCUAGAAGAUUACCAGGCACUAAAUCAGUUGCUAUAAAAGACUCCCCAAAAGGAAGCUGAAACAUUUUAAGAUAAUGGCUAAUUCCUGGUUAAAAAAAGAACCACCAUAUGUUUAAUGAUGAAAAGUAUGUCCUUAUAUUUUACAUAGAAAAAACUUCCAUCACUUUUAAAUUUUUCUGAGCGCUCCCUCUGUCUACCUCUCUUUGAAGUUUACACUGCAGUCUUGUGGUAGGAAAGCCAGUUAUUUACUUACAAACAUAUAAAUGGUUAAUGUCAAUUUACUGCAAGUCCAGCUGUUUUAUAGAAAAAUAAUGAUAUACACUGAGAAUUUAAACAGUAGAAAUUUAAAACACAUUAAUAAAUAAUCACGAAAAGUAAGUAUAUCUGUAAUCAUGGUAAUAUUAUUUCACACUUCAAUUCACCCCAAAUCAGAAAAUAGCAGCAUGAGAGAUCCUCUCAUCUCAGUUUUGCCAUCUGUGUUCGUAACACUCAGAAUUUCUGUUCAGGCACAAGAUAAUCCCCGAUUAUUUCAAGCUAGACAGAUAUGAAACCCUUAGCUACUACUAGUUUUUCAUGUAAGCAGUUACUUUAGCCACCGUAAAGAUUACUGGAAAUACAAACGGGAGCAGAGGCGGUCUCAGUAUAAGAAAAUGAGGAGGGAGUCGGGGUUGCUGAUUCGGUGCAGGCCCUCCUGAGGAGGAGAAGCAGGCUGGUGUGGGAGAGGGCGAUCUGCACAAGCAGCGGCGGCAAGGAAGGGGGGCUUCCUGCCAGGGAAAGAGGAGUCAGGGAGCUCUGCGAUACCUAAGAUAGGAAGGACGGUCAGUUCACUCGUUACUGAAUGGGAAUGGAGAUGUUUGUACCCAACUAACUUAACUAUUAAGAAGCGAUAGUCAUAGCAGGGAAGUUUAAAAACUCACCGUUUAAGCAUGUAGAAGUUUACUCAGCACACUGAUCUCCAAAAUCCUGUCCAGCAGUUACUCCAAAAGCAGUAAGCCUUUCUAAUCAAGUAUCUUUACUUAAUCUACCAUCUUAAUCCCUACACAGUUUCUCAAAACUAGGACUUGGCCCUUAUUUCACUGGUUUAUAUGUACUUCCCAGAACCCAUGAAAUUUGAUGAAGUAGCUGACAUCCAGCUUUGUCAUGUAAAGGCUUCUGAUCUUUUUCUGUCAGGCUUGAGUGACUCAGCUUGAAUCUGUGAACAAUAAAAUACGGUAACAUUGAUUCAACAAUUCCUGCAGCUCCAUGUGCCUUCAUGAUCUCUCUCAAUCUUCCAAAUCAGUUAACAUGCCAAUAAGGCUUUCCUCACUGACUGAAGCCUUGCAUAGGGGAUUUUGAAAUAUCCUUUGACAAAGAGCAAGUCUGUCUUUCAAUCAAUACUCACACUGAUAUAAAAAUGUUUCAUAAAAAAGUCCUCACACUGUAAUUCUGCCAGAGAAGAUAGGAGGCAACUACAAUGAAAUGACAAAAGGGAAAAAACCCAUGUUCUGAGCUUAUUGUUUGUUUUACUUUAUUAUGUCAAAGAACUGUAACUCCUUUAGGAUGUAUGAUCCAACUGAAUUCAAUUUCUGAUGGAUGCAUUUGCUCAGACUUGUUCAGAACCUUAUGAGCAAUAUCUGUUAGAAUUGUGUCUACCUUUGAACUGAGCUGAAGAUACAUAACCUUACCUAAGUUUCUCUCUGCUUUAUGAGAAAAAUGUCUUGAUGCUCUAAGAUGAACAAUAAGCUGAAAAAAAUGUAUUUCCUUAGUUAUCUGAUAUGUAGAACUACAUACCAUCUAUGAUUACACAGAAGUAAUACUUGCUUUACAACAGUAAUUCCUAAUGUUUUUCAGCUGAAUGAACUUAACUUUUUCAUGGAAGCACACUAAAACCCACUUUACGUUCUUCCUCUGUCUUCUGUUUUUCACACAGCCACGCACUUGCACCAAAUGUAACACUUCAGUGAUAAAACUACAGCAAUGUAAAGCUAUGAGGUAUUUCUGAAAAACCUCCACUGGCACUGGGAGCAUCUACACGACAGUAAGGUAUACAAUCAUUGGUAUUCUCUGAAAAAAUAGUGGAGAAAUUUUUGUCAAAUUUACAAAACAGCUAAAACCUGCUAUGUAUAUAAAAAAAAUGGGGGGUGUGUGCACGUGCAUGCACAUGUGUGUAAAAUUAGAAAAGGGAAAUAUACUUACUUUCCUCAAAAAAGCAAAAUGGAUAUUUAUUAUUCAUUAGCACUGACACACAGCCUAAGAAUUUUCAAUUAAAAUUAAAGUAGUUUCCUGUCUGAAACAACUGGGGUACACUUCUCUUUGGACUGUCAAGAAUGAGUAUCAAGAAGCCACUAAAAUACUGAACUACAUUAUAUUUCACUGCAAUAUGUAUUUCAUUUUCUAGCAACGCUGACUAGAAUUUUCUAUUAUAAGAAAAAAGCAGGAAAAGUUUUACAUGCACGUUACAGCGUGCUUUGGCUUUACUUCAAAAAUACUGAUGCUCACACUUACCUUCUGGCCAACGAUCUAUGGUCAGAGGAUUCUGGAUCUCAUUUCUGAGGUGACCUACCUGGUAACUAGUUGACUGUCCUUCUUCUCCCCCCUCCAGUUCAACUAC